RNAcentral lists this ribosomal RNA (351 nucleotides) under Triticum aestivum (bread wheat). Its description in RNAcentral is "partial small subunit ribosomal RNA". Lineage: Eukaryota; Viridiplantae; Streptophyta; Magnoliopsida; Poales; Poaceae. The record is from RNAcentral.
AUGCUGCAGGAGGAUGGGGGUAUUGAUGAAGAUGUGAACCAUCGAAUCAAAGCCGGAUGGAUGAAGUGGCGCCAAGCUUCUGGCAUUCUCUGUGACAAGAGAGUGCCACAAAAGCUAAAAGGCAAGUUCUACAGGACGGCGGUUCGACCCGCAAUGUUGUAUGGCGCUGAGUGUUGGCCGACUAAAAGGCGAUAUGUUCAACAGUUAGGUGUGGCGGAGAUGCGUAUGUUGAGAUGGAUGUGUGGCCACACAAGGAAGGAUCGAGUCCGGAAUGAUGAUAUACGAGAUAGAGUUGGGGUAGCACCAAUUGAAGAUAAGCUUGUCCAACAUCGUCUGAGAUGGUUUGGGCAU